UACGUAGGGUGCGAGCGUUGUCCGGAAUUAUUGGGCGUAAAGAGCUCGUAGGCGGUUUGUCGCGUCGGCCGUGAAAACUUGGGGCUUAACCCCAAGCUUGCGGUCGAUACGGGCAGACUUGAGUUCGGCAGGGGAGACUGGAAUUCCUGGUGUAGCGGUGAAAUGCGCAGAUAUCAAGAGGAACACCGGUGGCGAAGGCGGGUCUCUGGGCCGAUACUGACGCUGAGGAGCGAAAGCGUGGGGAGCGAACAGG
Molecule: ribosomal RNA, 253 nt
Filed under: uncultured bacterium
Lineage: Bacteria
Description: partial 16S ribosomal RNA
Rfam family: Bacterial small subunit ribosomal RNA
Source: RNAcentral